AGGACGAAGUAAAGGAACACCUCUAGGACGGAGGAUAAGGAAGCACUUCAGGAUGAAGUAAAGGAACACCUCUAGGAUGGAGGCAUAAGGGAAUACUUCAGGAAGAAGUAAUGGAUACCUCCAGGAAGGAGAGAGAGUCGAAACAGGAUGAUUCGACGGGCCAAGGAACUGCCGAAGGACAACUCUAGGAUAGAGAUUAGGAAUUACGCUUAGGAACAAAAAAGCAGAUCAAGGAUUGAUGCAGGGAGCACCAUAGUAGCGGGACGGCUGCAAGUAAGACCUAAGGGCGCAACGGAUGUUGCGCCCGUUCUUUUUUAG
RNAcentral lists this non-coding RNA (318 nucleotides) under Photobacterium jeanii. The record is from RNAcentral. Lineage: Bacteria; Pseudomonadati; Pseudomonadota; Gammaproteobacteria; Vibrionales; Vibrionaceae.